This 382-nucleotide ribosomal RNA is filed under the name uncultured eukaryote. RNAcentral's name for it is "partial 18S ribosomal RNA". It matches the Rfam family "Eukaryotic small subunit ribosomal RNA", at positions 592 to 976 of the family's 1831-position model. The record is from RNAcentral.
UGUAAGCGUAUACCAAAGUUGUUGCAGUUAAAACGCUCGUAGUCGGAAUUUGGCAGUUCCGGAUGUGUGCGCGUCGUGUGCGCACUUCGCGGGGAUUGCUUUUGUGGUCUUGCGUAGGAUGAGGCACUUUUAUUAGUGAACGUCCUCACGCAACCACUUUUUACUGUGAGAAAAUCAGAGUGCUCAAAGCAGGCAUUUGCCGUGAAUGUAUUAGCAUGGAAUAAUAGAAUAGGACUUGGUUCUAUUUUGUUGGUUUGUUGGGACUGAGUAAUGAUUAAGAGGGACAGUUGGGGGCAUUUGUAUUUCGGUGCUAGAGGUGAAAUUCUUAGAUUACCGAAAGACAAACUGCUGCGAAAGCGUCUGCCAAGGAUGUUUUCAUUGA